CAGAAAUCCUGAGAAAUCCAGCACUCCUGGAACAAUGUGAAGACUAUAGCUAAAGUGUUUGGCCAGCAGAUAAGCAAAAAUGUUCAGCAGUAGGCUGAGGACUGUGAUGGGAACUUUGCCCAGCUGAGAAGCCAAAGCAAGAUAAGUAAUCCAGCAAAACAUGAGCAGGGAACAACGGAAAACAACAAAACACCAAAGCACCAGAACAGUCUGCUGGCUUCCACCACUCC
This 230-nucleotide long non-coding RNA is filed under the name Fukomys damarensis (Damara mole-rat). RNAcentral's name for it is "lncRNA (ENSFDAG00000023734.1)". The record is from RNAcentral. Lineage: Eukaryota; Metazoa; Chordata; Mammalia; Rodentia; Bathyergidae.